CCACUAUGCUUAGCCCUAAACAUCGAUUGCACCAUACACUCCAUAUCCGCCCGGGAAUUAUGAACGUCAGUUUAAAACCCAAAGGACUUGGCGGUGCUUAACAUCCACCUAGAGGAGCCUGUUCUAGAACCGAUAACCCCCGUUAAACCUCACCCUCUCUUGUUUUAUCCGCCUAUAUACCACCGUCGUCAGCUUACCCUGUGAAGGAUUUACAGUAAGCAAAAUUGGCACAGCCCAAAACGUCAGGUCGAGGUGUAGUGAAUGAGGGGGGAAGAAAUGGGCUACAUUUGCUAAGUAUAGCAAACACGAAUGUUGCAUUGAAACAUGCAGCUGAAGGAGGAUUUAGCAGUAAGCAGGAAGUAGAGCGUCCCGCUGAAACUGGCCCUAAAGCGCGCACACACCGCCCGUCCACCCUCCCCAAGCCCCCUCCGAACUAAUCUAAUUAAAAGCCAACAACCCGCGAAGGGGAGGAAA
This 474-nucleotide ribosomal RNA is filed under the name Platichthys flesus (European flounder). RNAcentral's name for it is "partial 12S rRNA". It matches the Rfam family "Bacterial small subunit ribosomal RNA", at positions 787 to 1484 of the family's 1533-position model. The record is from RNAcentral. Lineage: Eukaryota; Metazoa; Chordata; Actinopteri; Pleuronectiformes; Pleuronectidae.